This 253-nucleotide ribosomal RNA is filed under the name uncultured bacterium. RNAcentral's name for it is "partial 16S ribosomal RNA". It matches the Rfam family "Bacterial small subunit ribosomal RNA", at positions 524 to 776 of the family's 1533-position model. The record is from RNAcentral.
AACGUAGGACGCAAGCGUUAUCCGGAGUUACUGGGCGUAAAGCGCGGGCAGGCGGCUCGAAACGUCUGAUGUGAAAUCUCCUCGCUCAACGGGGAGAGGCCAUUGGAAACGGUCGAGCUGGAGGGCAGUAGAGGUAGGCGGAAUUCCGGGUGGAGUGGUGAAAUGCGUAGAGAUCCGGAGGAACACCAGUGGCGAAGGCGGCUCACUGGCCCGAUACUGACGCUGAGGCACGAAAGCGUGGGGAGCGAACAGG